RNAcentral lists this long non-coding RNA (1097 nucleotides) under Melopsittacus undulatus (budgerigar). RNAcentral describes it as "lncRNA (ENSMUNG00000019967.1)". Lineage: Eukaryota; Metazoa; Chordata; Aves; Psittaciformes; Psittaculidae. The record is from RNAcentral.
AUGCGCUCCCCCCCCCCCCCCCGUUCCGUGUUUCUAUGGGGAGUCCCGAGCAGCUUCGGGUAUUUCCGGACUCACUUCGGCUCUUUCCGUAAAGGAGAGGGGCUCGAUGCGCUCCCCACCCCCCCCGUUCUGUGUCUCUAUGGGAGCUCCGAGCAGCUUCGGCUCUUUCCGGACUCACUUCGGCUCUUUCCGGAAAGGGGAGGGGCUCGAUGCGCUCCGCUCCGCCCCGGGUCUCCCCCGAGCAGCUUCGGCUCUUUCCGUAAAGGGGGGGAGGGGUUCGAUGCGCUCCGCCCCUUUCCCGUCUCUAUAGGGAGCCCCGAGCGGCUUCGGCUCCUUCCGGACUCACUUCGGCUCUUUCCGGAAGGUGGGGGGGGUUCAAUGCGCUCCGAGUCUCUAUGGGGAGCUCCGAGUGUCUUCGGCUGUUUCCGGACUCACUUCGGCUCUUUCCGGAAGAGGGGGGGGAGGUUCGAUGCGCUCCGCCCCGCCCCGGGUCCCCCCGAGCAGCUUCGGCUGUUUCCGGAACACUUCGGCUCUUUCCGGAAGGGGGAGGGGCUCGAUGCGCUCCGUGUCUCUUGGGAGCUCUGAGUGUCUUCGGCUCUUUCCGAAGUCACUUCGGCUCUUUCCGGAAAGGGGAGGGGCUCGAUGCGCUUCCCCCCCCCCCGUUCCGCGUCUCUAUAGGGAGCUCCGAGCAGCUUCGGCUCUUUCCGGACUCACUUCGGCUGUUUCCGUAAAGGGGAGGGGCUCGAUGCGCUCCGCCCCUCCCCGGGUCCCCCCGAGCAGCUUCGGCUCUUUCCGGACUCACUUCGGCUCUUUCCGUAAAUGGGGGGGGGGGGUUUGAUUCGCUCCCCCCCGUUCCGUGUCUCUAUGGGGAGCCCCGAGCGGCUUCGGCUCCUUCCGGAACACUUCGGCUGUUUCCGGAAAGGGGAGGGGCUCGAUGCGCUCCGCCCCUCUCCGGGUCCUCCCCCCGAGCAGCUUCGGCUCUUUCCGGAACGCUUCGGCUGUUUCCGGAGGGGGGGGGGGGGGCUCGAUGCACUUCCCCCGUUCCCUGUCUCUAUGGGGACCAGACCCUUACUGGGCCAUACUGGCCCCAUUCCUCC